RNAcentral lists this transfer RNA (85 nucleotides) under Pseudomonadota bacterium. Its description in RNAcentral is "tRNA-Leu". It matches the Rfam family "tRNA". Rfam says of the family: Transfer RNA (tRNA) molecules are approximately 80 nucleotides in length. Their secondary structure includes four short double-helical elements and three loops (D, anti-codon, and T loops). Further hydrogen bonds mediate the characteristic L-shaped molecular structure. tRNAs have two regions of fundamental functional importance: the anti-codon, which is responsible for specific mRNA codon recognition, and the 3' end, to which the tRNAs corresponding amino acid is attached (by aminoacyl-tRNA synthetases). tRNAs cope with the degeneracy of the genetic code in two manners: having more than one tRNA (with a specific anti-codon) for a particular amino acid; and 'wobble' base-pairing, i.e. permitting non-standard base-pairing at the 3rd anti-codon position. RNAcentral also lists the same sequence under 2 other names. Lineage: Bacteria; Pseudomonadati; Pseudomonadota. The record is from RNAcentral.
GCCGGAGUGGCGGAACUGGCAGACGCAAGGGACUUAAAAUCCCUCGGUGCUUAGCAUCGUACGAGUUCGACCCUCGUCUCCGGCA